GGGGCCGAGGGCAAAUGUAACCAAAUUUAAGCUUUUGUGCUCGCUUCUGAUUAACAUUUCAAAUCGGUUCGAAACGCGCAUUUUAUAUUGAAAUUUAUGAUUAUUCCAGAAUGACAAAUAAGUGCUUUGGCACGUGUAGCUGAAGGGGGAUUUCGGAUGGCGGCAUUGGAAGCAUGUCUCAUUAUGAAGUUCGAACAAUAGUUGAUGUCUGUAGGCCUAUUUAUCGGACUCUUUUUGUGAGCCAGACAUUCUGGCGACACUAAUUAAAUGUCCGCCCGCCAUUACUAAAUCAAAACAAUUCCAAGGCAGGCCAAACAACAGCCCAAGGAUGCAGAUACUUGUACAAAGGACGGACGAGACGGGACCAGUUAACUAUUUGCCUUGCCUCUCUCUGGCCUAAGGAUGGUCGGGUCUGCCUGUCCGUGUGUCUGUGUUCCGAAAAUCGUAAAUUCUGGAUGUUGUUAAAAAACUUUUGGCAGAGGCAUACAUAAAUCUGCGGCCAGUGAGCGAACAACAACAGCGAACAGAAGCAGCGCUGAGAAGUCAGUCCACUAACGAGCCAAAAUCGUUGACUGGAAAUCCUUGAGCAGGAAUAAUGCCUAUAAAUAUGCUAGGGAAUUGUCUGUGCCCCUUUGUGGGAUUCAAUUGACUCGGAGGCGAAACUUUUACCCAAACGGAGGAGGUCAGCAUCGUAAUUUGUUUGUGCCGAAUAUAUAGGGGGGAAAAGUUCGGGGUUGCGAGUUCUUGAAAUCCAAACGAGACUCACAAUUGCCACUGUUUGUGCGCGCUUUAGGCGAUCUAUCUGGCAAAUCGAUGAAGUAAUAUGUAUGUAUUCCGUCGCCAGUUCCAGCUGAUUGUUUAAACAAAGAAGGUAAUUACGCACUGCCAUCGGGCGGCACUGGGGCACGGGGCAAUUACACGCAGAUUACCACGUAAUUUAUGAAUUAUGCAAAGGCCAAAUAAAAUACUAUAAAACAAGGCCCCAGACCAGGUCCCUCCCAUAAAUAUGCCAACCGGCUUAGUCGCCUGCCCAUAAACUAUAUACGAGCACAGUCUGUUCAAAUGUAAAUACGAGUAUGCCCCAUGCGGCUACUCGCCACUGGAGGAGUGCUCCCAUUUUGGACUGUUAGCGGCUCCCGUUCCAGAGCCUGGCAACCGUUGGGCGUCAGCUUCGGCGGAAGUACUUGGAGCGGCGGAAAUACAAAUGAAGUUAGUCAUAUCAGUGGAACUUACUUAGCAAACAUUUGUAUGGUAUUUCGUAUUGUUAGUAGAACUUUUCGGCUUGUUGUUGCUCAGGGGACACAGUUAUUAAAAAUGGAGUCUUCCAGGAAGCCUGCAACUGUACUUAAAUUGGAAUUCCCCUUAAAACUGCUCUGGAAUUUCCACCAAUUCGCGGUAAAAAAACAAAAGUCAGCAAAAUCAGCAACAUGGAAAAAAUGACACUUGAUUCGUUUGUGUUUUUGUUAAAGCAAUUUGUGCGGCAAAUGUUGUAUUUUUUGUAUUUUUUCUAUGUGCGUGUAUGGGCUUAAAUAUAAUAUUGCACUCAACAAAUAAAUCGUCCAACUCUCCUUUGGUCGACCCUUGUCGCUCCCCCCGUCUCCACUUGGCCAUUGUUCGCGACAAUAGACGUCUGCGUAUGGCUUUUCACUUUAAUUGUGUGAAAUUAUUUUGAAAAAGUGUUGGCCCCUCGCUUUUCGUUUUCGUUUUCGCUUUCGUUUUUCCCUUUUUGUUGUUAACGAUUCGUUUAGCACAAGGCCAUAUUUAUUU
Molecule: long non-coding RNA, 1767 nt
Filed under: Drosophila guanche
Lineage: Eukaryota; Metazoa; Arthropoda; Insecta; Diptera; Drosophilidae
Source: RNAcentral